This 892-nucleotide ribosomal RNA is filed under the name uncultured soil bacterium. Its description in RNAcentral is "bacterial SSU rRNA". It matches the Rfam family "Bacterial small subunit ribosomal RNA", at positions 63 to 931 of the family's 1533-position model. The record is from RNAcentral.
CGGACGGGAUUACUAAUGGUAGCAAUACCAGAGGGUGAUUCAGUGGCGAACGGGUGCUUAACACGUGGGCAACCUGCCGAGAAGUGGGGGAUAGCUCGCCGAAAGGCGAAUUAAUACCGCAUGUGAUCAGCGGAGACAUCUUCGCGAAAUCAAAGCCCGGGCAACCUGGCGCUUUUUGUGGGGCCCGCGGCCUAUCAGCUUGUUGGUGAGGUAACGGCUUACCAAGGCUUUGACGGGUAGCUGGUCUGAGAGGACGACCAGCCACACUGGGACUGAGACACGGCCCAGACACCUACGGGUGGCAGCAGUCGAGAAUUUUUGACAAUGGGGGAAACCCUGAUCGAGCGACGCCGCGUGGAGGAUGAAGGUCUUCGGGUUGUAAACUCCUGUCAUUUGGGAACAAUGGUUACGCGUUAACUGCGCGUGACUUGAUAGUACCAGAAGAGGAAGAGACGGCUAACUCUGUGCCAGCAGCCGCGGUAAUACAGAGGUCUCAAGCGUUGUUCGGAUUCAUUGGGCGUAAAGGGUGCGUAGGCGGCGCGGUAAGUCGGGUGUGAAAUCUCGGAGCUUAACUCCGAAACUGCAUUCGAUACUGCCGUGCUCGAGGACUGGAGAGGAGACUGGAAUUUACGGUGUAGCAGUGAAAUGCGUAGAUAUCGUAAGGAAGACCAGUGGGGAAGGCGGGUCUCUGGACAGUUCCUGACGCUGAGGCACGAAGGCCAGGGGAGCAAACGGGAUUAGAUACCCCGGUAGUCCUGGCAGUAAACGGUGCACGUUUGGUGUGGGAGGAUUCGACCCCUUCUGCGCCGGAGCUAACGCGUUAAACGUGCCGCCUGGGGAGUACGGUCGCAAGAUUAAAACUCAAAGAAAUUGACGGGGGCCCGCACAAGCG